CCAAAUUUAGAAAUGAAUGCAAAUAAUCAAACAGAACUUUAUACUUGCAGUUAAUUUACAACAUUUACAAAUUAUCCAAGUGAUUCUGACUGGCACAAAUAUGUUUAAGUUUUGAGAAAUCAAUCAUUUUCAUUGUUGUUUCAGUGAUUGGCAGUUGGUUAUGAGGUUCGACCACUUUGGUCUACCAGUCAUCAUAAGGAGAUUCAUUCACUAACACAGACUCUAAUGUUGACACUGAGGUGGUGGUGAAAUCUCCUCCUCAUGAGGCUCCUGUUGGACGCUUUAUACCCAAACUCAACAGUGGCGCUCAUCUAGUUCUCCCCUCCUUCACCACGCUCAUCUUCAUCCUGGGCCAGCAAUGGACCUUGACCUGAGAGGUUGAAGAUACACAUAAUUAUGAAUAAAACCACAAGAUCUUCAUCUGCCUGGAUGCUUAUGUCUAUCUCCAUAUUGUCUUCCAAGACUGCUGCCAUUUUUCAUGGCAGCAAAUAUCUAAUAUAUUCUUAAAACAUUUUCUCUUACAUACACACGCAUAUGAUCAAGCAUAUCAAUAGUCAUAACUGCUUUUAAUCAUAUUCUCUCAGAUUAAAUAUCACUUAAAUACCACACAUCUAAACCUUCAACCUGUCAGUAAAAUGCAUGACAGAAGCACUUCUCAAGCAUUAAUGGACAAAUACAAUAUCUGAUCAGCACGGAAUGUUCUUGUUAUUAAACACAUACACAGAGAGGAAGAAAUAGAAAAAUUAAAUAUUAGUGUUAUGCUUAAUGUAGUAUGUAUACAGUUAUGAUUCCAUAGUGAAGACCAUAGUGAAGUUUUAAAACCCCCAAACCCCAACCUUUUUAAUAUAACCCACUGGUGCACACAGAAAAACACACAUAUGUCUUUUUAACCAUCAUGAAAUGAUAUCGAUAGAUUCAAUAAAAAUGAAUUAAUUAUCUGUUAAAUAGCUUCAGAUCAAUCUUUUAAAAUCAUCAGGUUUAAAACUUUCAGUUGUUACCCCGCAUCAAAGCCAACGAACAAAAAAAAGAGUAGGUUCAGAUGUGCCAUGUGAUUUUCACAUCACCUCAAGUUUACUUAAAGCAAUGGAAACAUUUAUAUGCAUAAAAUAUAUUCAGUAAUACUGCAGAAUUCAUCUUUGUGUUCAUAUGAGUAAUGUCUUCAUGUUUUAUGUUCAUUUUCAUUGACUAAGUUACCAUUCUUAAAGGACUAGCUAAGUGUCCAUCCACUCUAACUUAUUUUUAAAUUUCAAAUUCCAGAACAGUCACUGCAUCUGAAAACUCAUCUUGAUAGUAAAUAUGUUAGAAUUCUGAUUGCAAAUCAUAGUUUACGCUUCCCAUAUUACUUAAUACUUAAAGUUCCAGCUCUACAAAUAACUUACUUUUUACUGCACUUUUAAAGUGAUUGUAACAGUUAAUAGUAUUUUUAAAUAGCAGUUGGACAUCAGUUUCUGGGACUGGUAAGAAAAUUACUAGUGCUUCUCUUCUGCCUUAUCGUCAUCAAAUGCACAAUGAACAUUAGCAUACCACAUGUAUAAAUGUAUAUAUUUAAGGUCAUUCACUGUUUUGUCUGUGUAUUGCUAUUUUUUUUCCUUUUGUAUAGUGAAAGUUGCAG
This is a long non-coding RNA of Ictalurus punctatus (channel catfish), 1612 nucleotides long. NCBI's taxonomy places the organism in Eukaryota, Metazoa, Chordata, Actinopteri, Siluriformes, Ictaluridae. The record is from Ensembl.